AGUGAACGCUGGCGGUAGGCCUAACACAUGCAAGUCGAACGGCAGCACAGUAAGAGCUUGCUCUUACGGGUGGCGAGUGGCGGACGGGUGAGGAAUACAUCGGAAUCUACUUUUUCGUGGGGGAUAACGUAGGGAAACUUACGCUAAUACCGCAUACGACCUACGGGUGAAAGCAGGGGAUCUUCGGACCUUGCGCGAUUGAAUGAGCCGAUGUCGGAUUAGCUAGUUGGCGGGGUAAAGGCCCACCAAGGCGACGAUCCGUAGCUGGUCUGAGAGGAUGAUCAGACACACUGGAACUGAGACACGGUCCAGACUCCUACGGGAGGCAGCAGUGGGGAAUAGUGGACAAUGGGCGAAAGCCUGAUCCAGCCAUACCGCGUGGGUGAAGAAGGCCUUCGGGUUGUAAAGCCCUUUUGUUGGGAAAGAAAAGCAGCAGGUUAAUACCCCGCUGUUCUGACGGUACCCAAAGAAUAAGCACCGGCUAACUUCG
This 490-nucleotide ribosomal RNA is filed under the name uncultured bacterium. RNAcentral describes it as "partial 16S ribosomal RNA". It matches the Rfam family "Bacterial small subunit ribosomal RNA", at positions 29 to 505 of the family's 1533-position model. The record is from RNAcentral.